GUGCUUAACACAUGCAAGUCGAACGGACCUUCGGGUCAGUGGCGGACGGGUGAGUAACGCGUGAGAAUCUGCCCUCAGGAGAGGGGAUAACGGCUGGAAACGGCCGCUAAUACCCCAUAUGCCGCGAGGUGAAAUGAAUUUCGCCUGAGGAUGAGCUCGCGUCUGAUUAGCUAGUUGGUGGGGUAAAGGCCUACCAAGGCGACGAUCAGUAGCUGGUCUGAGAGGAUGAUCAGCCACACUGGGACUGAGACACGGCCCAGACUCCUACGGGAGGCAGCAGUGGGGAAUUUUCCGCAAUGGGCGAAAGCCUGACGGAGCAACGCCGCGUGAGGGAUGAAGGCCUCUGGGCUGUAAACCUCUUUUCUCAAGGAAGAAGACCUGACGGUACUUGAGGAAUAAGCCACGGCUAAUUCCGUGCCAGCAGCCGCGGUAAUACGGG
This 439-nucleotide ribosomal RNA is filed under the name uncultured bacterium. Its description in RNAcentral is "bacterial SSU rRNA". It matches the Rfam family "Bacterial small subunit ribosomal RNA", at positions 44 to 529 of the family's 1533-position model. The record is from RNAcentral.